AUGCCAUUAGUGAGCAGCAGCAUCUCUGUGUAUCAGGAAGCAGCUCUGGCCUCCCCUAGACAUUGUGCAAGAGCUCAGCUGGAACAGGAGCCCCUUCCGUGCAAGACCAGUGGUUUGCUUCAUACCUGCUGCCUGGGAGAGGGUGGCAGGGGUACUUCGGCACAUAGUGCUACUGAGAACAAAAAGGUGGUCACAUUCAGAUCAGCUGUAGACCACAGCACUGCAACUGCUGCCUGUGCUGAUGACCAGGAGAAGGAAGCAGGUUUAUCUGUCCUUCCUGGGAGGUCCAGGCUACUCCACAGUCUGAACACUCUUCAUUCUGCACUCAAAACACUUGGAGAGCUGACUGUGGAUCUACUGAGUACCAGUACCAUGGUGUCUGUGGUCAUAAAUCAUCUACCAGAGUCUUCCCCAGAACAAUGCCACCUCCCCAGCAAUUAAAAUACAACAACUUAAGGAAGCAUUGAAUCUAUUAGACUUCAUAAAAAAGGAGUAUUUCUAUGAAACCACCCAGGAGAUUUUAUGGAACCCAAAAUAUGUAAGAUAUUUGUUAUGUUUCAUUUGAUAGUUUUGUGUUUUCUCUGUGUUUCUGUGAAUUCAUAAAGAAAUACAGUGUUUUGGACAAAUAUUGUCACCUGUUUUUAGUAAUCAUGUGUUCAGUUGGGUAAUGUCAGACCUACUACAAGUCUGACAGGUAUUGAGAACUACGCUCAAUAUGUUAUACAGUUAUGGAUUGAAUUCUGUUUAUUGAGGUAGCCACAGAGUCAUAGAAUCAUAGAAUGACUUGGGUUGGAGGGGCCUUGAAGAUGAUCUAGUUCCACCCUCUGCCAUGGGCAGGGCUGCCACCCACCAGAUCAGGCUGCCCAGGGCCCAUCCAACCUGGCCAUGAACAUCUCCAGGGAUUGGGCACCCACAGCUUCUGUGGGCAGCCUGUGCCAGGGCCUCACCACCCUCUGGGUUAAGAAUUUGCUCCCAACAUCUAACCUACAUCUCUCCUCUUUUAGUCCUUAACUAAUAGUAGAAUAGGAAACAAUGGGAAUCUCACAGGCUAUGGAAAGCAGGUGGGCCUGAGAGACACUUUGCACAGAGCCCAAUCUGUAAAGCCC
Molecule: long non-coding RNA, 1106 nt
Filed under: Numida meleagris (helmeted guineafowl)
Lineage: Eukaryota; Metazoa; Chordata; Aves; Galliformes; Numididae
Description: lncRNA (ENSNMEG00000019226.1)
Source: RNAcentral